GAUGAACGCUGGCGGCGUGCCUAAUACAUGCAAGUCGAGCGAACAGACGAGGAGCUUGCUCCUCUGACGUUAGCGGCGGACGGGUGAGUAACACGUGGAUAACCUACCUAUAAGACUGGGAUAACUUCGGGAAACCGGAGCUAAAACCGGAUAAUAUAUUGAACCGCAUGGUUCAAUAGUGAAAGACGGUUUUGCUGUCACUUAUAGAUGGAUCCGCGCCGCAUUAGCUAGUUGGUAAGGUAACGGCUUACCAAGGCAACGAUGCGUAGCCGACCUGAGAGGGUGAUCGGCCAAACUGGAACUGAGACACGGUCCAGACUCCUACGGAGGCAGCAGUAGGGAAUCUUCCGCAAUGGGCGAAAGCUUGACGGAGCAACGCCGCGUGAGUGAUGAAGGUCUUCGGAUCGUAAAACUCUGUUAUUAGGGAAGAACAAAUGUGUAAGUAACUAUGCACGUCUUGACGGUACCUAAUCAGAAAGCCACGGCUAACUACGUG
Molecule: ribosomal RNA, 496 nt
Filed under: uncultured bacterium
Lineage: Bacteria
Description: partial 16S ribosomal RNA
Rfam family: Bacterial small subunit ribosomal RNA
Source: RNAcentral